RNAcentral lists this ribosomal RNA (253 nucleotides) under uncultured bacterium. Its description in RNAcentral is "partial 16S ribosomal RNA". It matches the Rfam family "Bacterial small subunit ribosomal RNA", at positions 524 to 776 of the family's 1533-position model. The record is from RNAcentral.
UACGUAGGGUGCGAGCGUUGUUCGGAAUUAUUGGGCGUAAAGAGUUUGUAGGCGGUCUGUCGCGUCUGCUGUGAAAACCCGGGGCUCAACCCCGGACUUGCAGUGGGUACGGGCAGACUAGAGUGUGGUAGGGGAGACUGGAAUUCCUGGUGUAGCGGUGAAAUGCGCAGAUAUCAGGAGGAACACCGAUGGCGAAGGCAGGUCUCUGGGCCACUACUGACGCUGAGAAGCGAAAGCAUGGGGAGCGAACAGG